This 219-nucleotide long non-coding RNA is filed under the name Eucalyptus grandis. RNAcentral's name for it is "long non-coding RNA (EGRA_LNC002544)". The record is from RNAcentral. Lineage: Eukaryota; Viridiplantae; Streptophyta; Magnoliopsida; Myrtales; Myrtaceae.
GUGGGACCCUUGACGCUGUAUGAGGAUGGACCGGGGCAGAGUGGUAGUCCCGCGGAGUAAGAGGUGGCAGAGAGGUGCUGGACUUGUGGGAGGACUUUUGUUUUUUGUUGUUUAACAACAUGUACAUAACCAAUGAGAGGCGGGAUAGUUAGUGUUCGUGGUUUAUAAUGUUUUUUUUGUAGAAAUUCCCCUCUCAAUCUCAUCUUCCCCACGUGUAAA